This is a long non-coding RNA of Numida meleagris (helmeted guineafowl), 7114 nucleotides long. RefSeq lists it as uncharacterized. The transcript has 4 exons. The record is from RefSeq and is a predicted model, not a curated record. NCBI's taxonomy places the organism in Eukaryota, Metazoa, Chordata, Aves, Galliformes, Numididae.
AUUCUUUCCUUUGUUUCUGUGUCUAUGGCUGUGGUGUUUGAGCAAGUCUUUACUUGCUGCAGCCUAGGAGUUUGUUACUCUGCUGUCAUUGCUGUGCUUUCUAUUGCAUUACACUUAUUAAUAGAAUAAUUCAAGUACCUGUAAGGCCUGUGGUCAUUCUGGUUAUUGAAGGCAGAUGGAUCACAACAUAACACUGAGUGUGGCAUGUUUGAUUGCAACCAUAUCACUCAGUGUUGAAACUCACUCAGGGAGGGCAGCAUUUUUUUUAGUUGGACUUACCACAUGUUCCUCUAUUGGAAAAAGUGGUAUUUAGCCCCAGGUACCACUUCCAGUAGAUCUUUGUUUCAAGAGGAGAAAAUAAUUAAGGGAGAACUUAAUUGAUUACAUAGCUGUCAAAUAUACAUUAUUACUGCAUUCUGAUGAUAUGCAUCUCCCGCUUUGCAUAUUCAGAGCCCUUAACUAGUUUCUGUUGAACUAGUGGCAGGCAUCCUUUGUCACAGCAGUGACUGCUUUAGCAUUAAAGCGUGGGAACUAACCCUUUUUAAGGAUAAUUAAAAAUGCAAGUAUGAAGUCCCAGGAAGUUUUAGUAGUCCGCGUGUGUGAGAGAGCCUCUGGGGCAAACACGGUGCAUUUGGAGCUCGUUUUGUGUUUUUUGUUUAAAAACAAAACAAAACUUGUAAAAUGACCACCAGUUACUUGCCCUCCAAAAGCUCGGUUUUGUCUGAGUUCAUACUGGAACGGGCUGAAGUGCUGGAUUUAUUUUCACCUGCUAGAAAAGGCUGUCGUUCUUCGGAGACACCACAAGAGGGUAGUUAAAGAGAAACUGAAAUACAUGAGGCUGACGGAAUGGCUAUACUGUUUUGUGCAAGGUGAAUGUGGCCGUAAAUUAUUUUUAUAUGAGCCUGAUCUGCAAGGAGCUCUCCUAUUCCCCUGCAUAAAUGUCAGAGAUCUCAAUGGUGUUGCAGCAGACAAUGAUCAGGUUGGCUAGGGAGUGACCUUGCUUUAUCACAUUUAGUAAGAGGAACCAGAAGUGGUUCUUACCCAGAGCAUUUGGGUAGAUAAAGGCAAUCAUAUUUUGGAGAGUUACGCUUUAAGUGCAUGGUGCUACAGUGGAGCAACAAAGUGCAUUGCUUAUGUUAUGGGAAUAAAACGUGCCUCUCUGCUGGAAACAGUACGUACAGUGAGAGCCAGCAUAUGUCAGUUCCUAAAAGCCUCAGCCAUUCACGAGGACAUCAACGUUUUUUCUCCACCACCUGCCUUCUGAAAGGACUAACUGCAGUCAGCAGGUGAAUCGCUUUAUUUGGAGAUGGGGGAGGGGGGAAAUGAUGGCCAAAUUUUCUAAGGACAUAAAUCAAAACUGUACAUUUAAUAUCCAUAGAGCUGUGUGCUUCACACCAGCAGAAAUCUUAGCGCUUUUUUUUUCCUGUUCUACCAUAUUCACCCUUGACACAUCAGCAGAAAGCUAACAUACCCCUGAUGCAGUCAAAGCCCAGCUGACUGAGUGGGCUGCCUGUCUCCAGGGGCAUUUCCUCAGGGCAGGCUUGCCAGUGAGGAGCAGGUUGCUGCUAAAUGGCUCGCACCUGCAGGUGCAGCAGCUGAGAGUUUGUAUGCUCACUGGCACAGAGGUAACUUUGUGCUGGAAGUAUCUGUUGUGUGACGAAUAAUUGCAUGGAGGGCUGAAGGGCAAUGUGUCCCACACAAGUGAGUUGACUGGUGGCUCUUAGCACCCGGUGGUGACAGUCCCUUGGACUGCUGCUCUGACUGAAGAGAAGCGGGCCUGCUAUGGGGCAGACCAACCCCUGCAGGCCAGUGCCCAGCUCUGCUCACUUCUGAGUCAACAGAGUGGUUUCCAUGAAGCCAAGGAGCAGGGCGAAGAGCUAUGUUAAUGAGAUGGCAGCUCAUGCCCAAGUGCCCUGUGGAGGGCAAGAGCCAUCUGUGCUGCCCCAUACCAGUGGGGCCCUCCAGCAGUGCUGGGGGCUGUGGAGCCAGCAGCCCUGCGGUGUUCUCCUUGUGGUGCUGCUGUGAGCGGUGGUUUGUUGUCAGCGGAGCUACGUUAUGAUAGUCAUUAUGGUUUUAAAUGACUCAUUUUCCACUUAACUGUAUUAUUGCGGCUUAUAGAGCAUCUGGAGCUUUGCAGCAGUAAAUACAUCACUGACUGCUACAACAAUAUACUAAUCUAUUUCUUUGAAGGAUUUAUUUAGCAGAAGACAGUCGGUGUAGGCAGGUGCAUACAAAUGCGUGUGCCUCUGGGCCUGGCACACGGCACCAGUCCUGGUGGCCCACCGGCGUGGGUCACAAAUGCGUUGUGCUGCUGGCAUGCCUGUAGAAACCAAUUUAAGGCUUUCGUAUGACUCGUUGUAGCCUGAAUUUGGCAUUGUUUUGGGAGAAAAGGAGAGACUCCUGUCAGACGUGCAAGAGACCCUGUGCCAAAGCAUCCUGUGAGGCAUUGGAACCCCAGGGAUUGACAUGAGUCUGCUCGUAUCACUCACUCCUGACUGACUAAGGGGGGAAAAACCCCUCAUAGACUCUUUCAUUUAUUCGUUUUAUUUCAUUUUUCCUCAGCUUGAGCCAUUCCUCGCUUAGGGAAAGCGGCUGCAGAGGGCGGUGUGGGAGAGCAAAACCCGCGCGAACAUGGCGGCGGGCCGCGCUCGGGCACUAGAGGGAGACCUCGGCCCGGCUGCCCGCCGCUGGCAGCAGCGCGCAGUCCGUGCGAACGGGGUUUUUGGGCUUCUGCUUUUUUGGAAGUCUCAAGCAGAUCUGACUGCUCCGCGGCUUCCUUGGAGUUUCCCCGCAGUGAGGCAGCAGAGGUGCCCCUCAGGUCGCUGCGCUGCUUUCAGCAAAGCUCAGCAUUUCCUGCUUCUGAUUUUAGACCUGAAAAGUGUUGGGAUAAUACAGCUCUGGUUGGGGGAUGUUUUGGUAGAGGUACUUUAAGAAAUAUAUUCAGGAAUGCAGCAGAAGAAAAAGAUCUGGGGGUGUAUCAGCAAUAGUGCAGCCAGCAGAGCAGGAGCUGAAUGUCCAUCUGUACCGGCCCUGGUGAGGCCACACCUCAGUGCUGUGUUCGGUGCUGGGGCCUUCUCUGUGAGGAAGACAUGGAGGCCCUGGAGUGUGUCCAGAGAAGGGAACGGAGCUGUGAGGGAUCAGGAGCACACGUAGCUGAAGCUCUGUUGAAGAUAAUGAUAAACUCUUUACCUGUUGAGCAUUAGAGAAAUCCCAGGAGUUCCUAAAUUUGCCACAGGUUUCCACAGACCAUUGAUGUGAAUGUACUGCCAGCUUUGGUAGCAACUAGUUUCCUAAGGCUGUUGGUCCUGUAGCGCUUAAACCAAAAGCCCUUUCAAGUAGUUUGUGUCUGCCCUGCCUGUGAUGUUAUGACAUCCCUGCAGCCUGCUAGGUAAACAUUCUUUGCCAGAGCAUCAAAGCACAGAUUCUUCAUUGCAAUUAUUAUUAUCAGUGUAAAAAUGGAGAGUUCAGUGAUGAACUCUACUUGAAGCAAACCUUCAGCAAAUUGAAGCUCUGAGUUAGAACAGCAUCAAGAGCUGAAAAGGCCUUUGUUGAUCGACUUGUGUGAGCUGCAGAGGACAGCGACGCAGAUGACACUGACUUGCUGGCCUGUGAGCAGGUAACUUGCAGGCAGAAGAAAAUGCAUACCUAAUUGAACAGUUAGUGUUUUCAGUCUGUGCCCAUUGCCUCCUCUUGCACCUUGUAGAGGUUUGUAAGAUCCCUACAAGAAGCGGUUUUGUACUGUUUGAAAAAGCUGGUGCUAAUUCUACUGCUGCUUGACGAUAUGACCUUGCUAUGAAAGGGUCUAAAUGUUUUCAAGCCAUUCCUAGAAAUGAAGAAAACUCUUUUCUGUAAUGGCUGCAGAUUUUUUCAAUAGAGGCAAAGGUAUUGCCAGUACUUGUUGGACAAAGGUGUAGAACGGUACUUCACUUUCUGAAUCUCCUUAUGUUGUAAGAGGGGUAAGCACGUAGCGUAAUAUAAAGGCAGAUUACAGGAGCUGAAGCUGGAGGGCUGCGUGGGUGCAUUGGUACAAAUCCGAAGAGCCUCGUGUUGUGCCUGCUCGGCAAGAAGAGUCCUGGCUGUGCGGUGUGUGACACAGCAAGAAGAAUGGUUUGGAGAAGAUUGUUCUCGAAGCACAGUUCUGCAAAGUACUAUCUUGCAUCAGGGAUGUCAUGUUUUGCAGCUUUCCCAUCACUGCAGAAAUCCUUGCUUUCUGGAUAACUUCACUUUCCUUGUGCUCUUCUGAGCCAGUUCUUCUAUUUUCCAGGUUUGUUUUCUAACUUGGAAUGAGUAGUUUCACUUCAAGUUUUAUUAAUAUAUUACUUCCUUUGGUGACCUAGAAAGAAUGUGAGUCUUCCUCUGUCUUUGGAGAGGAGGUGAAGUGGAGAAAACAGGAGGGGACCCACAUCUGACUUACACCUGCUGACUUGUGAAGAGAAUACUUUGCUUUAGAGGCAGUUGUGUGGGAGGGGAUGCAAGUUGGGAAGGCUGUGCUGAUAGCUUUAAUCCUCAUCUUCUCAGGUUGCAAACAGGUUCAGUUCUUCUAAGUUCAGGCCCAGCCUUGUUCCCUCUCUGUUCAGCCCCUUCCACCGUCUUUCCCUCUUCCCAUACUUUGAGUGUUCGUACAAAUCCUGGGUGUUCACCCCUUGAUGCUCAUUUGUAGAAUCUUGCCUAGGGUCCUUUCAAAGUACUGGAGAGGGGAAGCGAUGCUGAGGCAGACCUGUGCAAAGCAACCCACAGAGUUCCUGCUGCAGGACUGGCUGUGGCUUCACUAGCUGGGAGUAAUCGGGCUGUGCCAUGAGGCUAUGGGGCUCUGCUGCCUUUGCUUAGGUGUAAAAUACCAAACCCAGAGCCCCCACAUCACCCAGUGAGGCCAUGGAGUGCUUACCGCAAAGUACAGCCUUCCACUCUUCAUUCAGCCUCAGACCUGGUGCAGCAUACAGUGCAGCAAGGUCUGUUCAGAAAUUAAAGCGAGCCUGCGAUACAUUUAAUAGGCUUCAUGAGAUUAAUCCCUCUUGACAAACUGAAUUCAUCAUAAUAGUAAGAUACAGGAGCUGGUAGGCAAUUAAAUCAGCUUAGUUUCAGGGCAGGGUAUUUAAUGAACAUAUUUGCCCGUUAUUGUGUUUUAAUAGUGUUUGAUAAAAUUAUUUCUUGCCCAAAACUUUUUAAAUGUGGGAAGCUAGGAAACUUCUUUAAUCCUAACGCUGUUAUUUAAGGAUUCAUGAAAGAAUAUUGGAAAAAUGCUGCACAACAUAUUGCUAACUCCACUUUCCUUUUUAAGGGAGAAAUCUUGUUAGCUGGAAGACCAAGUAUUCAUUUUUUUCUGUUAAAAAUUAAACAGAAUUUUCUGCACUGAAUUGGAGAGGCUUCUGGAUUUGGAAGUUGAUGCUGAAGCAUAUCAAAUAUCCUGGUUAAAGCUCAGAAACCGCCUAUGAGCCCCCAGCUCCAACAUCUGCUCCAGAAUGAAUAGAACAAAGGAAACAUAAUGGCUGGGAACAAUAUGAGGAAGAUAGUAUUCUUUCUCUUGUGAAUAGGAUUGUUUGUACCACAGUCACUACAGUAACAUUUGAACGCUUCCCAGUAGUAAAUUAAACAACGCUACUAACACUGGUAUUCUCUUAUCUACUUUUAAACUGCAGAGAAUUCCUCUGGCUUGCACAGUGGCUAUCUUUGUUCCUGCGGCUGCACACAGGGUGGCUGCGUAUCACAUUGCUGCCAGUCAGGGCUCUUCGGAAUGGCCUUUAUCUACCUGUUUGCUUUUGAUACGGUUGUACGCAGCAUUGCGGUGAUAAGUGCAGAACAAACAUGGGGAGACUGCACCGUGCAGAGAAGAGGCAGGGUCUGGCAGGCUGCUUGGAGGUAAGUCUGCCUGCACCAGCACCUGACUAUUACCUGAGCAGCAUCUCCUAAAAUAAAUCUCUGAGUAAUGUAGCCAGAGCUCCUCGUGAGCAUAGGUGCUUGCAUGCAGCUGAGCAGAGAACAAAGUAUACGCUUAAAAAGCACCCUGUGCUGAAAUGAGAUGCCUACAGUUAUGUUAGACUGUAAGGAGGAAACUUCAGGAAGGGAAGGAAAAUAUAGCACUGUUAUCAGCAAUUGUUUCCUUCUAACUUCAGGGUUAGAGGGAAUCUACUGAAAUACAGCAAUAACAUGCAGAGAUAGAGCAGACCAAAUUUACCCUUGUUUAUGUGUACUACUGAAAUGUAAGAAAGUCACAAUGCUAUUUUUGUUGUUGUUGUUGUUUGCUUUCUCUUUAAUCCCCGGGGAGAAACAUCAGUGUCCUGCAUCUUCAGUGUGUGUAAUAAUUUAUUAUAAUACAUCAUAUUCAUUUUCUUGAGUCCGUACAGAUAAAUAUUUUAGGAAGCAUAACUAAGGAAGUGGAGCACUUUUUCUUGUCCACAAGGGACUCUUCGGCCUCUGGAGAAGAUGCUUCCUGGGUUAAAAAUUAGAAGUUCUUUGGAUGUAUUUGGGUAAUGUUCAUAGCACAGACUCUGUGACUUGCUUAUGAAUGAGCAUGAAAAUUAAUCUCCUUCUUAAGAGGAUAUAUAGAUUAGGGGAAGCUUGAGAGAUUAUUAUAUCCUGUUUGAGAACAUAUCAAGUGAAUAGAGCUUAAUAUUAUUCAUCACCAUACAUUUCUAUCUGACAUUAGCAUAAUAUACCUGUAUAGAAACUUAAAAAUCUAUUACUUCAUUAUUGAAGAGCGUUCACAUGUUUACUGCAAUGCUUCAAACUGUCACUUUUGGCUGUGGUUAAAAAUACAAAUUAAUGAUUAAUGAAUGCAGUUGUACUUCUGACUGAAGGCAGCUGAAUAUAUUGCUAAUAUAGUCUGUUUUAUUAAUGCGUCUCUCUUUGAGAAUCAUCUUGGGGAGAAGCUCCUCUUUUCAAGGAUGGAACCGCACAACUGAAAUAGUUGCUGGUUAAAAAAAAAAUAAAAAAAUUGAGCUUGCUGGUACAAUUCAAGAUGAUAGAAUCACAGAAUCAUUAAGGUUGGAACAGACCACUAAGAUCUCCAAGUCCAGCCAUCAGCCCACUGCUAUCAUAUCACUGACCAUGGCCCUCAGUGCCACAUCUCCAUGGCUCUUGAACACCUCCAAGGAUGAUGACUUUGCCACCUCCCUGA